CUCAGACAUUUUUGUUCAUUCCAGUGUCCCCACCACCUAGAACAUUGUCUGCCACAUGGUUGGUGCUCAAAAGUUACUUUUCGAAUGACUAAGUAAGUGUAUAUGGAUGAAUGAAUUGAAGAAUUGAGUGAAUUGGAAGCUGAGCCAGUUUUUGCAUUAACAUUGGCGGGAAAAGUAAGUUCUAUGAAGGCAAAGCCAGGAAAAUGACUCAGACGCUGGCAGGAAUCCAGCUUCCACGGGUCAGCACCAUCCUGGAGAGCUGGGGGUGAGGUUCUGGCCAUCUUCCCCUUGGCUCCUUCCCUUGGAAGAGCACAAUGCAACUUGUUUCUUUACUCUUUUAAAUUACUUCUAUUGUUAGGAGUAACAUUGUAAUUACCACCACCACCCCCUUUUUUUUCUUGUCAUAGAUCAUUGACACCAUGCCAGAAAAUCACCUGCCCAGUCAUUGUCUGUGCUGCUGCCAUUCUUACUAGGGUGUGGCAGAUGGUGUUCAACUCUCCUGCUCUUCAAUUGUCAGAAUUAGGUGUCAUGGUUAUAUCCUGUCCGUUCCUCCCAAUAAACCAGAGAUGGGAUUCAAUGAUGAAGUACCAAAAUGAGAACCAGCAGUCCUGAAGUACAAUUCAACCCCAUUGUAAUAGUCUUAAUAAUUGAUAAAUUCCCACAGAUCUGACUUAUCAAAUCUUCUUUGUUAAAAAUACAUAAAGUCUUCUUUGUCUAUGCAACAUUCUACACAGUGGUGAAUCUGGGUUAUUCUCUACAGCUGCUACCUUUUAA
This 774-nucleotide long non-coding RNA is filed under the name Marmota monax (woodchuck). Lineage: Eukaryota; Metazoa; Chordata; Mammalia; Rodentia; Sciuridae. The record is from RNAcentral.